AGCGCGCUCAUUUACCGGCAAUGAAAUUUUCUUGGCCAAACUAAUUAAAAUUCUCGCACAAUGUAAAAUUUUGCGCUUUGUGUACACCAUAUAAAUUAUGGUGCCAUUAAACAUCAAUUUGAAAAAGCUAGAGUUAACGAUUGUUCGAGUGAGCUAAAACAUACCUUGACGACGUCUUCGCCGCCGUGUAAUUCGCCCAGCGAGGGCCUUUUGGCCGCUCUUCGGGAAUUCCUGUAGUUCUCCAACCUCGGGAGCGCCUCGCGUGUGAGUUGCACGAGCGAUUUUUUGCGUUUUUGGAUCGGAUAAUUUGCUGUCGGUUUCAAAUCACUGAUAGUGUCCUCUUUCACCCCGUUCUCGUGUAACUGGAAAGCACCAUUGUCUAUACCGGCACUGGGCUGAAGAGUGAAGCGGCCAUCCAUGGUGCGACACUUUCAAUGAUACGGUUCGAAAUGAAUGGAAAUUUCGAGUGCGAGCGAGGAUUUUUAUCUAGGCAUUGAGGGCUACUUGACUACCUCGAGCCGACUUUCAGCGUUUCAGAGGAUAAACUGCAAUGUUUGAGCAGGAGCUUUCUUUAAGUACUCCUGCCGAUUGAUGGACAACGCGCAGAUUCAUACAUGUCGAAUGCGAAAAUUACUAAAUAUACUUAAGACUGUAAAUACUA
Long non-coding RNA from Tribolium castaneum (red flour beetle), 661 nucleotides. RefSeq lists it as uncharacterized. The record is from RefSeq and is a predicted model, not a curated record. The transcript has 2 exons. NCBI's taxonomy places the organism in Eukaryota, Metazoa, Arthropoda, Insecta, Coleoptera, Tenebrionidae.